GCCCAGAGGAGCCACAUCUCUCCCUCCCUCCCUCUCUCUCUCUCUCUCUCUCUCUCUCUCCCCAGAACAAACCUCACCCAUCACCAUCACCACUUUCACAGGAGGGGAGAGAGGUGAGAAUCUCCCCACCCAGGCAAAAUUAACAGUACCUCAUCACCAUCUUCCUCCUCACCAUAUCACACUUCACCCUCAACCACAACAAAGCUCAGCUCCUCUCCCUCUCUCUCUCUCUCUCCUCAUCAUCCAACUCCAACUCCAACUCCACCGCCAUCACCACUACCACCACCCCCACACCCCCUUUGAUCUCUCUCUCUCUUCCACCCCCCCACUACCCAACUGUUCAUGAGCACAGACCCUUCUUUUUUCAUUUCUCCCAAUAAUGACCCCAGAAGACUCCCUGAGAUCUCUUUCCUUAGACUACCUCAACCUCCUCAUCAACGGUGAGGCCUUCAGCGAUGUCACCUUCACCGUCGAGGGCCGCCUCGUCCACGCCCACCGCUGCAUCCUUGCCGCCCGCAGCCUCUUCUUCCGCAAGUUCUUCUGCGGCCCCGACCCGCCUUCCGGCCUCCUCGACGCCGCAGGCUGCCCCCGUGGCAACCCUCAGGGGGCGGCCCACCACCCGUCGAGGCCGCCGCCUCCGCCGGGGGUGAUCCCGGUGAACUCGGUCGGGUACGAGGUCUUCUUGCUGGUGCUGCAGUUCCUGUACAGCGGGCAGGUCUCGAUCGUGCCACAGAAGCACGAGCCGAGGCCUAAUUGCGGCAACAGAGGGUGCUGGCACACGCAUUGCACCUCCGCUGUCGAUCUCGCCCUCGACACCCUCGCCGCCGCGCGAUCCUUCGGUGUCGAGCAGCUUGCACUGCUCACUCAGAAGCAAUUAGCAAGCAUGGUGGAGAAGGCCUCAAUAGAAGAUGUGAUGAAAGUACUAAUUGCCUCAAGAAAGCAGGAGAUGCAUCAACUUUGGACUACUUGCUCCCACCUCGUCGCGAAAUCUGGCCUUCCACCCGAAGUCUUGGCCAAACAUCUCCCGAUUGACGUUGUGGCUAAGAUUGAAGAGCUCAGGCUGAAGUCGUCGAUGGCUAGGCGAUCCAUAAUGCCGCACCACCACCAUCCCCACGACCUGAGCACGGCCGCUGAGCUCGAGGAGCAAAAGAUCCGGCGGAUGAGAAGAGCCCUCGACUCUUCUGACGUUGAGCUCGUGAAACUCAUGGUCAUGGGCGAGGGCCUAAAUCUAGACGCAGCACUAGCACUUCAUUAUGCAGUUGAAAAUUGUAGCCGGGAGGUCGUCAAGGCAUUGCUUGAGCUUGGGGCGGCGGACGUUAACCACCCAGCAGGGCCCAGUGGCAAGACCCCACUCCACCUUUCUGCUGAGAUGGUCUCCCCGGACAUGGUGGCAGUCCUACUCGACCACCACGCAGAUCCCACGGUCCGCACAGCUGAUGGCAUCACACCUCUUGACGUGCUCCGAACCCUAACCUCUGAUUUCCUCUUCAAAGGGGCAGUCCCGGGUUUAGCCCACAUCGAGCCAAACAAGCUUAGGCUAUGUCUGGAGCUUGUCCAAUCGGCAGCCCUCGUGAUCUCGCGAGAAGAAGCUGGGAAUGCCAACGCGAACACAAACGCUUCUUCUAGUACCACGACUAUCUACCCACCGAUGUGCGGUGAUGAUCAUAGUAGCGGCAGUAGUGGCAACAACAUGGGCAACAUCAACCUUGAUUCAAGAGUGUACCUAAAUCUCGGUACACAAAUGGGGUCUAGAAUGGAUGAAGAUGAUCAAAGUAGCCGAAAUAACCAGAGGGAAACCAUGAAUUUGUACGGUUCUCAAGGUUUGUAUCGUCACUCGCACGACUUCUAGCUAGGCUCUCAGGCUCAAGCUCAAGCUCAACUAUCUACACAUAUGAUAGGAGUCAAGUCAUUCUCUUUUCACGACAACCAUUAGAUGGACUGAUUCUGUGCAUUGCCGAAAGGCGAUGCGUUUGCUCUUUCUAUUGGCACAACGAAGCAUCAAACGAGGUGCGCAAUUCUAAGUGGUGCCCACAAAACUCGAAGCGUUCACAUUAAUCGGCCUUCGAAGAGCAUCGCUGUGCACCUUUUGAAACGAUAUAAAUUUGUAGACAUGGGUGUAGUGCGAGUGUAUAUCAUACAAGCAAGCAAAACAUCACACUUUAAGCUUAAUUAAGCAAACAAAAAGGGCAGUGAAAGGCAGUAGUUUCUUUGUUCCUGCUAUCUCUUCUUCCCAAAUGCCCAAAUCAGGAGCACACCAGAACCCACCUCCUCCCGGUUACCCGACAGACAACCUGCCACACACCAGGAAAAGCAAGUUAUUGUGCUGCAGCCGCACGAAGAUGAAAGGAGACUCUCGAGAGAGGGGCUUCAUAGAAGGAUGCCUGUUUGCUCUAUGCUGCUGCUGGCUCUGUGAGGAAUGCUGCAACUAGUGAGUGUGAGCGAUAGCUUUGCUGGAGAAUUCAUCAAUCUUCAACUUAGAGCGCGCGCGCGUGCAUAACAGAGUGUAAAAGUUCGCUAUGGUCGGUAUGAUGUAAUUCUUCUACAGAUGAAGUACCUCAAUACCAUAUUUUCCCUCGACGCGAGCUGGUCACUCUUGAUUUGCCAUCUGUAUCUGAUUUAUAUUAAUCCUUUUGCUUUCCGAA
Eucalyptus grandis is the source of this 2642-nucleotide RNA transcript. It is a transcript of the gene named BTB/POZ domain and ankyrin repeat-containing protein NOOT2, with no coding region annotated. The record is from RefSeq and is a predicted model, not a curated record. The transcript has 5 exons. NCBI's taxonomy places the organism in Eukaryota, Viridiplantae, Streptophyta, Magnoliopsida, Myrtales, Myrtaceae.